This 1350-nucleotide ribosomal RNA is filed under the name Triticum aestivum (bread wheat). RNAcentral's name for it is "partial small subunit ribosomal RNA". Lineage: Eukaryota; Viridiplantae; Streptophyta; Magnoliopsida; Poales; Poaceae. The record is from RNAcentral.
AUGCAGCUUGAAGCCAUGGCAAACAGAGGGAAGAUUCUAAUGGAGCGGUACGAGCUGGGAAGAUUGUUGGGGAAAGGAACAUUCGGCAAGGUGCACUAUGCAAGGAGCCUAGAGUCGAACCGAAGCGUCGCCAUAAAGAUGCUGGACAAGGAGAAGGUGCUCAAGGUUGGGCUCUCGGAGCAAAUCAGGCGUGAGGUCACAACCAUGCGGUUGGUGGCACACAAGAACAUUGUUCAGCUUCAUGAGGUCAUGGCGACACGAAACAAAAUAUACUUUGUCAUGGAGUAUGUGAAAGGCGGUGAGCUCUUUGACAAGGUUGCAAAGAGUGGCAAGCUCACAGAGGGUGCUGCACAUAAGUAUUUCCAGCAGCUCAUCAGUGCAGUGGAUUACUGCCACAGCCAAGGCGUGUAUCACCGGGAUCUCAAGCUGGAGAACCUGCUCCUGGAUGAGAAUGAGAACCUUAAGGUCUCGGAUUUUGGAUUGAGCGCCCUUUCAGAGUCAAAGAGGCAAGAUGGCUUGCUCCACACCACCUGCGGAACACCCGCAUAUGUAGCUCCGGAGGUCAUCAGCAAGACAGGUUACGAUGGUGCAAAAUCAGAUAUCUGGUCUUGUGGUGUUAUCCUUUUUGUUCUUGUUGCUGGUUAUCUCCCUUUCCAUGGUUCCAACUUGAUGGACAUGUACCGGAAGAUUGAGCAAGGAGAUUUCAGGUGCCCCGGCUGGUUCUCACACAAACUCCAGAAGCUCUUGCUCAAGAUCCUGGACCCCAAUCCAAGCACCAGGGCAUCUAUCCAGAAGAUAAAAGAGUCUACCUGGUUCCGGAAAGGUCCAAGGGGCACCCUUGCAGUGAAGGAGAGAACUCCCAGUGAGAAUGUCAUCACAAAUGCUCCUCCUACAGCUGGUGUGAGGCCAAGGAAGAACACUCAUGAAGAUGUGAAGCCCCUAAUGGUGACAAACUUAAAUGCCUUUGAGAUCAUCUCCUUCUCCACGGGGUUUGACCUGUCCGGCCUAUUCAUCCAAGAGGACUGCAGAAAGGAGACAAGGUUCACUUCAGACAAGCCUGCUUCAACCAUCAUCUCGAAGCUGGAAUAUGUUGCGAAGGCGCUGAAUCUCAGGGUAAGGAAGAAGGACAAUGGCGUGGUGAAGAUGCAAGCGAGGAAGGAGGGAAGGAAUGGUGCUGUACAGUUAGACAUGGAGAUCUUCGAGAUCACACCUUCCCACCACCUCAUUGAGAUGAAACAAACAAGUGGUGAUCCGCUGGAGUACCGGGAGCUAUUGGAGGACAUCCGGCCAGCGCUGAAGGACAUAGUCUGGGCCUGGCACGGAGAUGACCACCAGCAGCAGCUAGAGUAG